AGAGUUUGAUCCUGGCUCAAGAUGAACGCUAGCGACAGGCUUAACACAUGCAAGUCGAGGGGCAGCGGGGGAGUAGCAAUACUCCCGCCGGCGACCGGCGCACGGGUGAGUAACACGUAUGAAACCUGCCCGUAGCAGGGGGGGAUAAGCGGAAGAAAUUCCGUCUAAUACCGCGUAACAACCCUUGGAGGCAUCUCCUCGGGUUUAAAGGAAGCGAUUCCGGCUACGGAUGGUCAUGCGUCGCAUUAGCUGGUUGGCGGGGUAACGGCCCACCAAGGCGACGAUGCGUAGGGGUUCUGAGAGGAAGGUCCCCCACACUGGUACUGAGACACGGACCAGACUCCUACGGGAGGCAGCAGUGAGGAAUAUUGGUCAAUGGCCGCAGGGCUGAACCAGCCAAGUCGCGUGAGGGAUGACGGUCCUAUGGAUUGUAAACCUCUUUUGUCAGGGAGCAAAGGGCGCCACGUGUGGCGCUUUGCGAGUACCUGAAGAAAAAGCAUCGGCUAACUCCGUGCCAGCAGCCGCGGUAAUACGGAGGAUGCGAGCGUUAUCCGGAUUUAUUGGGUUUAAAGGGUGCGCAGGCGGAAUGUCAAGUCAGCGGUAAAAUUUCGGGGCUCAACCCCGUCGUGCCGUUGAAACUGGCGUUCUUGAGUGAGCGAGAAGUAUGCGGAAUGCGUGGUGUAGCGGUGAAAUGCAUAGAUAUCACGCAGAACUCCGAUUGCGAAGGCAGCAUACCGGCGCUCAACUGACGUUCAUGCACGAAAGCGUGGGUAUCGAACAGGAUUAGAUACCCUGGUAGUCCACGCAGUAAACGAUGAAUACUAACUGUCCGGGCAGAAUGAUGCCUGGGUGGUACAGCGAAAGCGUUAAGUAUUCCACCUGGGGAGUACGCCGGCAACGGUGAAACUCAAAGGAAUUGACGGGGGCCCGCACAAGCGGAGGAACAUGUGGUUUAAUUCGAAGCAACGCGAAGAACCUUACCAAGCCUUGACAUCUUCCUGGCAGCAUAUGUAAUGUAUGUUCCCUUUGGGGCAGGAAAGACAGGUGGUGCAUGGUUGUCGUCAGCUCGUGUCGUGAGAUGUUGGGUUAAGUCCCGCAACGAGCGCAACCCCUGUCCCCAGUAGCCAGCGCGCAGCGGCGGGCACUCUGGGGAGACUGCCGGGGACAACCCGGAGGAAGGCGGGGACGACGUCAAAUCAUCAUGCCCCUUAUGGCUUGGGCUACACACGUGCUACAAUGGCGCCGACAAAGGGAAGCGAAGCGGCGACGUGGAGCAAAUCCCAAAAACGGCGCCCCAGUUCGGAUUGUAGUCUGCAACCCGACUACAUGAAGCCGGAAUCGCUAGUAAUCGCGGAUCAGAAUGUCGCGGUGAAUACGUUCCCGGGUCUUGUACACACCGCCCGUCAAG
Molecule: ribosomal RNA, 1408 nt
Filed under: uncultured bacterium
Lineage: Bacteria
Description: bacterial SSU rRNA
Rfam family: Bacterial small subunit ribosomal RNA
Source: RNAcentral